UACGAAUGGGGCAAGCGUUGUUCGGAAUCACUGGGCUUAAAGCGUGCGUAGGCGGAUUUGCAAGUCAGAAGUGAAAUCCCGGGGCUCAACCUCGGAAUUGCUUUUGAAACUGCAAAUCUAGAAUCCGGGAGGGGUCAGUAGAAUUCCUAGUGUAGAGGUGAAAUUCGCAGAUAUUAGGAGGAAUACCAGUGGCGUAGGCGACUGACUGGACCGGCAUUGACGCUGAGGCACGAAAGCGUGGGUAGCAAACAGG
This 253-nucleotide ribosomal RNA is filed under the name uncultured bacterium. Its description in RNAcentral is "partial 16S ribosomal RNA". It matches the Rfam family "Bacterial small subunit ribosomal RNA", at positions 524 to 776 of the family's 1533-position model. The record is from RNAcentral.